Molecule: ribosomal RNA, 442 nt
Filed under: uncultured bacterium
Lineage: Bacteria
Description: partial 16S ribosomal RNA
Rfam family: Bacterial small subunit ribosomal RNA
Source: RNAcentral
CCUACGGGUGACAGCAGUGGGGAAUAUUGGGCAAUGGGCGCAAGCCUGACCCAGCAAUGCCGCGUGAAGGAAGAAGGCUUUCGGGUUGUAAACUUCUUUGACAGGGGAAGAGCAGAAGACGGUACCCUGAAAACAAGCCACGGCUAACUACGUGCCAGCAGCCGCGGUAAUACGUAGGUGGCAAGCGUUGUCCGGAUUUACUGGGUGUAAAGGGCGUGUAGCCGGGAAGGCAAGUCAGAUGUGAAAUCUGGAGGCUCAACCUCCAAAUUGCAUUUGAAACUGUUUUUCUUGAGUACUGGAGAGGCAGACGGAAUUCCUUGUGUAGCGGUGAAAUGCGUAGAUAUAAGGAGGAACACCAGUGGCGAAGGCGACUUACUGGACUGUAACUGACGUUGAGGCUCGAAAGCGUGGGGAGCAAACAGGAUUAGAGACCCUUGUAGUC